UUCUUUCACAUCUCCAAAAAUACUAAAAUGACGAAUGAAAAGAGAAGCACGUACAUUAACAUAAAGAAGAAGUAUUUUUUAAUCAUGAGUAAAUCUAUAAAUCAACUCUACUCCCUUCUUUCCGAUACACAAGUCUAAAUGUCAUUUUGGCAAAAUAUAUAAAUCACUCUCCAAAUCUCUAACGCAGUUCUCUCUCUUCUCUCCCCAAAAUCCUCUCAUUCUAACCCAAAUCAACGUCUCUCUCUCCUCUCUAAUUCUAUUUAGCCCAAUAAUUGCUUACUGAUAUAACUUAGUCCCCAUUACUUGCUGAAAUCACUUAGCCCCCACCAACCAUUGCAUCUCGUUAUCUCUCUUCCUCAUCUCCAACUGGUUCGAUCGUCGCAAAUUGGAAUCCUUAGACCCAAAUUGGAAUACUUAGACAAAUUGUUGUCUUCUCCAUCACUACUAUCACUGAAUUGUUAUUAUAACAGUUAUUCUUUAAUAAAUUUGUACUGCCCAAAAGUCAAAUUCUUUAAUGGGUCUCCUUCCCAUAAGUAUUCCCAUUUCAAAAGUGUGCUAAAUUUACUUAAACUAUGUGUCUUCUAAAAAGGAAUGAUCGAUUUAAUUUGUUUUUAAGUUAGAAUGACGAUUCGAGAAGAGCAGGGGGGCUAAGUGAUUUAACCGGAACAGAGCAUUUUGGGAAGGGUAAAAGAGAAGAGAGAGAAAUGCGUGAGAGUUGGAGAGAAGACCUAAAUAAAAUAGAAAGGACAGACAAAUAUGCGAUUUAUAUUUUACCAAAACGACAUUUAGAACGAGAGGGUUUCGGGGAGGGAAGAGAAAUAACUGCGUUAGAGAUUUGGAGAGUGAUUUAUAUAUUUGCCAAAGACAAAAGUAAAGAGAGUUUUUAUAGGUUUUAAAUUUAAUUUCUUCCGAAGAAAAUAUAUCUUAUUAUUUAUAAAUUGUUACAUGCUAAUAAUAUUC
Molecule: long non-coding RNA, 960 nt
Filed under: Panax ginseng (ginseng)
Lineage: Eukaryota; Viridiplantae; Streptophyta; Magnoliopsida; Apiales; Araliaceae
Description: long non-coding RNA (PGIN_LNC001942)
Source: RNAcentral